CCUACGGGAGGCAGCAGUGAGGAAUAUUGGUCAAUGGGCGCGAGCCUGAACCAGCCAAGUAGCGUGAAGGAUGACUGCCCUACGGGUUGUAAACUUCUUUUAUAAAGGAAUAAAGUGAGGCACGUGUGCCUUUUUGUAUGUACUUUAUGAAUAAGGAUCGGCUAACUCCGUGCCAGCAGCCGCGGUAAUACGGAGGAUCCGAGCGUUAUCCGGAUUUAUUGGGUUUAAAGGGAGCGUAGAUGGGGUGUUAAGUCAGUGGUGAAAGUUUGGGGCUCAACCGUCAAAGUGCAAUUGAUACUGGCAGCCUUGAGUACAGGAGAGGUAGGCGGAAUUCGUGGUGUAGCGGUGAAAUGCUUAGAUAUCACGAAGAACUCCGAUUGCGAAGGCAGCCUACUAAACUGCCACUGACAUUGAUGCUCGAAAGUGUGGGUAUCAAACAGGAUUAGAUACCCGAGUAGUC
This 460-nucleotide ribosomal RNA is filed under the name uncultured bacterium. RNAcentral describes it as "partial 16S ribosomal RNA". It matches the Rfam family "Bacterial small subunit ribosomal RNA", at positions 338 to 795 of the family's 1533-position model. The record is from RNAcentral.